RNAcentral lists this ribosomal RNA (2889 nucleotides) under Bacteroides ovatus. RNAcentral's name for it is "23S ribosomal RNA". It matches the Rfam family "Bacterial large subunit ribosomal RNA". Lineage: Bacteria; Pseudomonadati; Bacteroidota; Bacteroidia; Bacteroidales; Bacteroidaceae. The record is from RNAcentral.
AAGAAAGUAAGCAAGGGCGCAUGGCGGAUGCCUUGGCUCUCGGAGGCGAUGAAGGACGUGAUAAGCUGCGAUAAGCUUCGGGCAGGUGCAAAUAACCUUUGAUCCGAAGAUUUCCGAAUGGGACAACCCGUCAUUCUGAAGGAAUGACAUCUUGCAUAGCAAGAGGCUAACACAGGGAACUGAAACAUCUUAGUACCUGUAGGAAAAGAAAAUAAUAAUGAUUCCCCUAGUAGUGGCGAGCGAACGGGGAUUAGCCCAAACCAAUGUUGUUACGGCAAUAUUGGGGUUGUAGGACCACGCUCUCGCAAGAAGUUUAGUGAGAAGAACCCUUUGGAAAAUGGGACCAUAGACGGUGAUAGUCCGGUAUUCGAAGCUAAAUGAAGCGUAGUGGUAUCCUGAGUAGCGCGGGACACGAGGAAUCUUGCGUGAAUCUGCCGGGACCAUCCGGUAAGGCUAAAUACUCCCGAGAGACCGAUAGCGAACCAGUACUGUGAAGGAAAGGUGAAAAGCACUUCGAAUAGAAGAGUGAAAUAGUCCCUGAAACCGUGCGCCUACAAGCGGUCGGAGCUGCUUCAGCAGUGACGGCGUGCCUUUUGCAUAAUGAACCUACGAGUUACUUUUUCCGGCAAGGUUAAGGAUCUUGAGAUCCGCAGCCGAAGCGAAAGCGAGUCUUAACAGGGCGAUUAGUCGGAAGGAGUAGACGCGAAACCAAGUGAUCUACCCUUGGUCAGGUUGAAGGUUAGGUAACACUAACUGGAGGACCGAACCGAUAAGCGUUGAAAAGCUUCCGGAUGAACUGAGGGUGGGGGUGAAAGGCUAAUCAAACUUGGAGAUAGCUCGUACUCCCCGAAAUGCAUUUAGGUGCAGCCUUGGGAAUUACUACUGUGAGGUAGAGCGACUGAUAAGAUGCGAGGGCUUCACCGCCUAUCAAGUCUUGAUAAACUCCGAAUGCGCAGUAGUUCGAUCCCAGGAGUGAGGGCAUGGGUGCUAAGGUCCAUGUCCUAAAGGAGAAGAAUCCAGACCAUCAGCUAAGGUCCCGAAAUAAUUGCUAAGUUGAACUAACGAAGUCAGAUUGCUAAGACAGCUAGGAUGUUGGCUUGGAAGCAGCCAUUCAUUUAAAGAGUGCGUAACAGCUCACUAGUCGAGGAGUUUGGCGUGGAUAAUAAUCGGGCAUUAAGCAAUUUACCGAAGCUAUGGGAUGUUAACUAAACACUAACAUCGGUAGGGGAGCAUUCCACUCUGCGUCGAAGGUGAAGCGUGAGCUUUGCUGGAGCGUGUGGAAAAGCAAAUGUAGGUAUAAGUAACGAUAAAGGGGGUGAGAAACCCCCUCGCCGAAAGACUAAGGUUUCCUGAUCAACGCUAAUCGGAUCAGGGUUAGUCGGGUCCUAAGGCUCAGCCGAACGGUGAGGCCGAUGGCAGAACAGGUUAAUAUUCCUGUACUACCUUAAGGAGUGACGUGGAGACGGAGGAGUGACAGCGCCGCGGACUGACGGAAUAGUCCGUUGAAGGGUGUAGAUGUUGAUUAUCCCAGGCAAAUCCAGGAUAAGAGUCGAACCUGAUAGUAUACCAAAUUCUUCGGAAUAAGGUAAUAGUGCGUGUAAGCAUACUCCCAAGAAAAUCCGCUAAACUUAAUCUUUAAGGUACCCGUACCGCAAACGGACACACGUAGUCGGGUUGAAUAUACUAAGGCGCUUGAGUGAUUCACGGUUAAGGAACUAGGCAAAUUGACCCUGUAACUUCGGGAUAAAGGGUCCCAACGAGAGUUGGGCGCAGAGAAUAGGUCCAGGCAACUGUUUAACAAAAACACAGGGCUGUGCAAAAUUGAAAGAUUACGUAUACAGCCUGACACCUGCCCGGUGCUGGAAGGUUAAGAGGAGAUGUCAUCGCAAGAGAAGCAUUGAAUUGAAGCCCCAGUAAACGGCGGCCGUAACUAUAACGGUCCUAAGGUAGCGAAAUUCCUUGUCGGGUAAGUUCCGACCUGCACGAAUGGUGUAAUGAUCUGGACACUGUCUCAACCGUGAGCUCAGUGAAAUUGUAGUAUCGGUGAAGAUGCCGAUUACCCGCGAUGGGACGAAAAGACCCCGUGAACCUUUACUAUAGCUUAACAUUGAAUUUGGGUAAUUGAUGUGUAGGAUAGGCCGGAGACUUUGAAUCAGGUACGCCAGUAUUUGUGGAGUCGCUGUUGAAAUACGGCCCUUUGAUUAUUUGAGUUCUAACUCGUAGAUGCGAGGACACUGUUUGGUGGGUAGUUUGACUGGGGUGGUCGCCUCCAAAAGUGUAACGGAGGCUUCUAAAGGUGCCCUCAGGACGAUUGGUAACCGUCCGUAGAGUGUAAUGGCAUAAGGGCGCUUGACUGGGAGACAGACAAGUCGAUCAGGUAGGAAACUAGAGCAUAGUGAUCCGGUGUUUCCGUAUGGAAGGGACAUCGCUCAAAGGAUAAAAGGUACUCCGGGGAUAACAGGCUGAUCCCUCCCAAGAGCUCAUAUCGACGGAGGGGUUUGGCACCUCGAUGUCGGCUCGUCACAUCCUGGGGCUGGAGAAGGUCCCAAGGGUUGGGCUGUUCGCCCAUUAAAGUGGCACGCGAGCUGGGUUCAGAACGUCGUGAGACAGUUCGGUCUCUAUCUAUCGUGGGCGUAUGAAAUUUGCGUGGCUCUGACACUAGUACGAGAGGACCGUGUUGGACUGACCGCUGGUUUACCAGUUGUGCCGCCAGGUGCAUUGCUGGGUAUCUAAGUCGGGAUUGGAUAAGUGCUGAAAGCAUCUAAGUACGAAGCCAGCCACAAGAUUAGAUUUCUUAGGGUCGUCAAAGACGAUGACGUUGAUAGGAUGCAGGUGUAAAGGUGGUAACAUCAAAGCCGAGCAUUACUAAUUGCCCGUUCACUUUCUUUC